Molecule: ribosomal RNA, 396 nt
Filed under: Kogia sima (dwarf sperm whale)
Lineage: Eukaryota; Metazoa; Chordata; Mammalia; Artiodactyla; Physeteridae
Description: partial small subunit ribosomal RNA
Rfam family: Bacterial small subunit ribosomal RNA
Source: RNAcentral
AUAAAACAAGACUAUUCGCCAGAGUACUACUAGCAACAGCCUGAAACUCAAAGGACUUGGCGGUGCUUUAUACCCCUCUAGAGGAGCCUGUUCUGUAAUCGAUAAACCCCGAUCAACCUCACCAACCCUUGCUACUCCAGUCUAUAUACCGCCAUCUUCAGCAAACCCUAAAAAGGAACAAAAGUAAGCACAACUACCCCACGUAAAAACGUUAGGUCAAGGUGUAACUCAUGGGCUGGGAAGAAAUGGGCUACAUUUUCUAUAUUAAGAACACCCUUCACACUCACACGAAAGCUUUCAUGAAAUCUGAAAGCCAAAGGAGGAUUUAGUAGUAAAUUAAGAGUAGAGUGCUUAAUUGAAUAAGGCCAUGAAGCACGCACACACCGCCCGUCACCC